UAGAUAAUGCAUAUUAUCAACACCAAUUCCUUUGUUUAUAGCCUUUAUAUCUUUUGCCGACAUUUUUGUGAACCCAAUGGCCAGAGCGUGCUGCUUUCCUUCAGCCAUUAUUGCCACAGGGGUUUCUUCCAAUACUUCACUGUCCAAAGCACCCCCGGGGGAUGUAAGACCAGGGCACAUUAUAUUUGCACCAGAAAGAACAAAUUUG
Molecule: unclassified non-coding RNA, 208 nt
Filed under: Hevea brasiliensis (rubber tree)
Lineage: Eukaryota; Viridiplantae; Streptophyta; Magnoliopsida; Malpighiales; Euphorbiaceae
Source: RNAcentral